GGUUGAAGGUUGGGUAACACUAACUGGAGGACCGAACCGACUAAUGUUGAAAAAUUAGCGGAUGACCUGUGGCUGGGGGUGAAAGGCCAAUCAAACCGGGAGAUAGCUGGUUCUCCCCGAAAGCUAUUUAGGUAGCGCCUCGUGAAUUCAUCUCCGGGGGUAGAGCACUGUUUCGGCUAGGGGGCCAUCCCGGCUUACCAACCCGAUGCAAACUGCGAAUACCGGAGAAUGUUAUCACGGGAGACACACGGCGGGUGCUAACGUCCGUCGUGAAGAGGGAAACAACCCAGACCGCCAGCUAAGGUCCCAAAGUCAUGGUUAAGUGGGAAACGAUGUGGGAAGGCCCAGACAGCCAGGAUGUUGGCUUAGAAGCAGCCAUCAUUUAAAGAAAGCGUAAUAGCUCACUGGUCGAGUCGGCCUGCGCGGAAGAUGUAACGGGGCUAAACCAUGCACCGAAGCUGCGGCAGCGACGCUGAUGCGUUGUUGGGUAGGGGAGCGUUCUGUAAGCCUGCGAAGGUGGCCUGUGAGGGUUGCUGGAGGUAUCAGAAGUGCGAAUGCUGACAUAAGUAACGAUAAAGCGGGUGAAAAGCCCGCUCGCCGGAAGACCAAGGGUUCCUGUCCAACGUUAAUCGGGGCAGGGUGAGUCGACCCCUAAGGCGAGGCCGAAAGGCGUAGUCGAUGGGAAACGGGUUAAUAUUCCCGUACUUGGUGUUACUGCGAAGGGGGGACGGAGAAGGCUAUGUUGGCCGGGCGACGGUUGUCCCGGUUUAAGCGUGUAGGUGUGUGUUCCAGGUAAAUCCGGUUCACUUUAACACUGAGGCGUGACGACGAGGCACUACGGUGCUGAAGCAACAAAUGCCCUGCUUCCAGGAAAAGCCUCUAAGCAUCAGGUAACAUCAAAUCGUACCCCAAACCGACACAGGUGGUCAGGUAGAGAAUACCAAGGCGCUUGAGAGAACUCGGGUGAAGGAACUAGGCAAAAUGGUGCCGUAACUUCGGGAGAAGGCACGCUGACACGUAGGUGAAGUGAUUUACUCAUGGAGCUGAAGUCAGUCGAAGAUACCAGCUGGCUGCAACUGUUUAUUAAAAACACAGCACUGUGCAAACACGAAAGUGGACGUAUACGGUGUGACGCCUGCCCGGUGCCGGAAGGUUAAUUGAUGGGGUCAGCGCAAGCGAAGCUCCUGAUCGAAGCCCCGGUAAACGGCGGCCGUAACUAUAACGGUCCUAAGGUAGCGAAAUUCCUUGUCGGGUAAGUUCCGACCUGCACGAAUGGCGUAAUGAUGGCCAGGCUGUCUCCACCCGAGACUCAGUGAAAUUGAACUCGCUGUGAAGAUGCAGUGUACCCGCGGCAAGACGGAAAGACCCCGUGAACCUUUACUAUAGCUUGACACUGAACAUUGAGCCUUGAUGUGUAGGAUAGGUGGG
This 1428-nucleotide ribosomal RNA is filed under the name Salmonella enterica subsp. enterica serovar Mbandaka. RNAcentral's name for it is "partial 23S ribosomal RNA". It matches the Rfam family "Bacterial large subunit ribosomal RNA", at positions 743 to 2151 of the family's 2925-position model. Lineage: Bacteria; Pseudomonadati; Pseudomonadota; Gammaproteobacteria; Enterobacterales; Enterobacteriaceae. The record is from RNAcentral.